This 253-nucleotide ribosomal RNA is filed under the name uncultured bacterium. RNAcentral describes it as "partial 16S ribosomal RNA". It matches the Rfam family "Bacterial small subunit ribosomal RNA", at positions 524 to 776 of the family's 1533-position model. The record is from RNAcentral.
UACGUAGGUGGCAAGCGUUGUCCGGAUUUACUGGGCGUAAAGAGCGCGCAGGCGGUCGUGCAAGUCGCGUGUGAAAGCCCCCGGCUCAACUGGGGAGGGUCACGCGAUACUGCUCGACUCGAAGGCAGGAGAGGGAAGUGGAAUUCCCGGUGUAGUGGUGAAAUGCGUAGAUAUCGGGAGGAACACCAGUGGCGAAGGCGACUUCCUGGCCUGUUCUUGACGCUGAGGCGCGAAAGCUAGGGGAGCAAACAGG